GACGGAGGGAGCAAGCGUUGUCCGGAUUUACUGGGCGUAAAGAGCGCGUAGGCGGCCCAUUAAGUCGGCUGUGAAAUCGCUGGGCUUAACCCAGCAAAGCCAGUCGAUACUGGUGGGCUAGAGUCCGAGAGAGGGAAGCGGAAUUGCUGGUGUAGCGGUGGAAUGCGUAGAUAUCAGCAAGAACACCGGUGGCGAAGGCGGCUUCCUGGAUCGGUACUGACGCUGAGGCGCGAAAGCUAGGGGAGCGAACCGGAUUAGAUACCCCCGUA
RNAcentral lists this ribosomal RNA (269 nucleotides) under uncultured prokaryote. RNAcentral's name for it is "partial 16S ribosomal RNA". It matches the Rfam family "Bacterial small subunit ribosomal RNA", at positions 524 to 792 of the family's 1533-position model. The record is from RNAcentral.